This 396-nucleotide ribosomal RNA is filed under the name uncultured bacterium. Its description in RNAcentral is "bacterial SSU rRNA". It matches the Rfam family "Bacterial small subunit ribosomal RNA", at positions 29 to 429 of the family's 1533-position model. The record is from RNAcentral.
AUUAAACGCUGGCGGCAUGCCUUACACAUGCAAGUCGAACGGUAGCGCGGGGCAACCUGGCGACGAGUGGCGAACGGGUGAGUAAAGCAUCGGAACGUGCCCUGGAAUGGGGGAUAACGUAGCGAAAGUUACGCUAAUACCGCAUAUUCUGUGAGCAGGAAAGCAGGGGAUCGCAAGACCUUGCGUUCUGGGAGCGGCCGAUGUCGGAUUAGCUAGUUGGUGGGGUAAAAGCCUACCAAGGCGACGAUCCGUAGCGGGUCUGAGAGGAUGAUCCGCCACACUGGGACUGAGACACGGCCCAGACUCCUACGGGAGGCAGCAGUGGGGAAUUUUUGGACAAUGGGCGGAAGCCUGAUCCAGCCAUGCCGCGUGAGUGAAGAAGGCCUCGGUUGUAAG